This is a small nucleolar RNA of Rattus rattus (black rat), 131 nucleotides long. RefSeq annotates it as small nucleolar RNA SNORA42/SNORA80 family. The transcript has a single exon. The record is from RefSeq and is a predicted model, not a curated record. NCBI's taxonomy places the organism in Eukaryota, Metazoa, Chordata, Mammalia, Rodentia, Muridae.
GCAUGGUGUGGAUUUAUGGCAGGCCUGUUUCCCUGGGCCUCUCGUAGUGUCCUGUUAGAACAACCUGUGGCCUGGAACCAUGGCCUGGCCUCUGUUUGUAGGCAGCUGGCACUGAAGUGGGUCACACAGUA